UACGUAGGGUGCGAGCGUUAAUCGGAAUUACUGGGCGUAAAGUGUGCGCAGGUGGCCGCACAAGUCGAGUGUGAAAUCCCCGGGCUUAACUUGGGAAUUGCGCUCGAAACUACGUGGCUCGAGUGUGGCAGAGGAAGGUGGAAUACUUGGUGUAGAGGUGAAAUUCGUAGAUAUCAAGUGGAACACCGGUGGCGAAGGCGGCCUUCUGGACAGUGACUGACGCUGAGACGCGAAAGCGUGGGGAGCAAACAGG
This 253-nucleotide ribosomal RNA is filed under the name uncultured bacterium. RNAcentral describes it as "partial 16S ribosomal RNA". It matches the Rfam family "Bacterial small subunit ribosomal RNA", at positions 524 to 776 of the family's 1533-position model. The record is from RNAcentral.